CUGGGUUGAGAGGCUGAAAGAGGAUCUCAUCUUUAAAUAACAGUAAAAUCCUAAAAAUUCCAAAACUUGGCUCAAAUUUGCAAUUAUCACUGAUCAUUUUAAUUUUGUCAAUUAUAUACACAAGCUUUCAAUUUGGUCUCAGUUACAGCCACAUUUAGAGGGGCACAUGUCAAUUGUCAUAACUCCUAAAUUUCUAACACCACAUAAUUUAUUGAUAAAAUUCUCACAUAAGCAUAUUUAAAGAAAAAGGAUAGGGGAAUGAAGGAGAAGGGUUGGGGGGAGAGG
Molecule: unclassified non-coding RNA, 285 nt
Filed under: Hevea brasiliensis (rubber tree)
Lineage: Eukaryota; Viridiplantae; Streptophyta; Magnoliopsida; Malpighiales; Euphorbiaceae
Source: RNAcentral